RNAcentral lists this long non-coding RNA (4587 nucleotides) under Sus scrofa (pig). RNAcentral's name for it is "lncRNA (ENSSSCG00055026789.1)". The record is from RNAcentral. Lineage: Eukaryota; Metazoa; Chordata; Mammalia; Artiodactyla; Suidae.
CUCCUACACUGACUACCUGAGUUAGUCAGAGUUCUUUUUCCUGCCUUCCUACUGGGUUAUGCCAUUCUCUCUACUCUCAAAUUCCUUGCUUAUUUUAUGUCUUAUCUAUUCUCACUGUGGUCAAAAGUUCUCCCAGGAGAGGGUCAGCUAUUACUCAUUUAUACCUGUUUCAGUCUAAUGAAGAAAAAAAUACAUGUCUCGGGGUAAUGACAACUAAGGUCAUCACUAAUAAUAUGUUGAAAAGUAUCAAAUUUAAAAAAAAUACACAACCUGAAAGUUGAGAGUUAAGUUUUAUUGGGUCAAAAUUAGGGCUUAUGCCCAGGAAACAGCAUCUUAGGUAGCCCUGAGAAAGCAAUCUGAAGAGAUGAGGAGGAAGCUAGAAUAUAUGAGUUUUUGCAACAAAGGGAAGAUCAUAAGAACAAAAUAUUUACAGAUAACCAGAUUUACAGAAAAAGAUUUAUAGAAAUCUUUCUAUGGGAAGAUGUAAAGGUUUGGGCUUACUGGAAUCACUCCUUUGAGAUGCACCUCAGCUCUGGGUCAGUCUUUGCCCCUUUCCCGUGUUCCCUCAGGCUCACCAGCCCAACCUUGGGAGUAGCUACAUUAACUGAUGACCAUGACUUCAUUUGUUUUGUCCACUUAAUUACAGCCCAGGGGGUGGUAUUUCAGGUAGUUCUGAAAUACUGCCCCAAAGAGAAAAGGAGAAAUAUUAAUAUAUAAGUGAUAAAGGUGAAGGGAGAGGUGCAGGCAGCCGUGCACACAUUUUACAAAGUUUUCUGCUGGUCUCAUGAAGUUUUCUACUACUCAUGAGGAACAGAUACCACCACGAAGGGUUUUAGUGUUUUUCUAGAUAUGAAGAGAUGCAAGAAGUGGGCUGAUAAAAUCUUCUUCUAAAGAUAUCUAUCUGUCAGAAGACCUGAUCUUCCAGUAUUCCCAGAGCACAGAGUGCCUCACUCCUGGUCUCCACCCUGAGCUCUGCUCGGGGGAUGCUAUGGUAGCUCAUGAUUUCACCCAUGUAGAGGAAGAUGACAAGUGCCAAAAUCCAGUUCACAAAGGCUUGACGUACAGGUAAGGAUUUUAAAUGACAGGUGAUAGAAAGAUUUUUCCAGGGAAUCUUUCCAGAAACAUUUUUUAUCCACCUGUUCCUGGUAGAAGAUAUGGUAAAACUCCUCUGUUUUCCUAUCCUCUUAAUCAGAACUUCACACAGCUUCCUUCCUUACUGAGUUUUCAGUUACAUAUAUCUAUUCACAGUUGACACCUAUCUGUCAGCCAAGUGUUGAUCUCCUGAUAGGCACAUCCAGGGGUUGGAGAAAAAUUAAUUCCAAAGGGAUCAUGCUCUUUAUUAAUGUCAAUCAGUCAAUAUCAGAACACCACCCCCUACUGUGACUCUACAGAUUCCCCAUGGGAGAUGUACUUAUGAUGCCUUACCAUGUCAGACUUUUCAGUCACUUUUUUGAAAAAGAAAGAAAGGAAAAGGAAAGAAAUAGUAGCUGUAUCCUCAGAAGCAUUUCUUCUAGUAUGUAAUUAUGGAUCCUAUAUGGUGCCCACUGAUGGGUGGGGCAGGGAGUUAAAUAUGUAGCCUGUGCAUUUGUGAGAAAUCUUGUGUUCUUAUAAGCUUGAAAUAUAAAUUUGUCACCUUUAAAGAGAUUUUCCUAUAUGAUAGUAAAUGAAAUGGAAAAGCAAGCUGGGUCAUUGACAAAAUUAUGAACCUGGGCUACCUCCCCACAAAAUACUCUCUUUGUACAGGUUUCAUCUGUCUCAUGGGCAUCUAGAAGUCAGAUCCAAUGUAAUAUUCAUUUCCAUCUCCCUAAACAUAUGUCACCCAGUACAAGGAAGAUACUUAAUAAAGUUUUCUUUAAAAAAUAAAUUUUUAGUGGAGAAACACUGCCCCAAACAGACAAGGCAUCCCAAAUUCUUUUUUUUUUUUUCUUUUUAGGGCUGCACCUACCUGCAGCAUAUGGAGGUUCCCAGGCUAGGGGUCUAAUCAGAGCUGUAGCCUCCAGCCUAUGCCACUGCCUCUGGCCUAUGCCACAGCCACAGCAACACCAGAUCUGAGCCACAUCUAUGACCUACACCACAGAUCACAGCAACGCUGGAUCCUUAACCUGCUUAGCGAGGCCAGGGAUGAAACCCAUGUCCUUGUGGAUAGUCAGAUUUGUUUUUCCUGAGCCAGGAUGGGAACUUCACAAAUUCUGUCUUUAGCAGUGGUCACAGAUAAUCUACAGGCAAGCAUUCUUUUUACUUAUUACAAUAAUCCCAAAAUACUGAAAUAGAAUAGUAACCAUUUCUUACUUAUUCUCUUAUAGCACAUUUUGGCCCAAUUAUGCAUAUAGUUAUAAAAAUGUUUUUAUUUUAUAUUCAGAGCCAACUCUAGGUUAUUCUAUUUACUGAACCUACUCUCACAAUUCACCUAUAACAUGAAGUUUUAAAUAACAGACAUUUUAAAAUAAUGUAAAUUCCUUCCUAAAAUUUUCUAGAACAUAUAUUCAAUCUAUAUUCAUAAUCAAUUAGCAUAUACCCUCAGCUCAGAAAAUAUCUUUCCCAUUAUAAAUUUUUUACAAUUUCUAAAUGUUUGCAUUUUAUGAUGAAAAAGAUGAAUUUCAAAAGCUACCAAUUUUAAUAGCCAUAAUUUAAUAUUUCUAGAAAUGCUGAACAAUCCUACAUAAGGAGAUUUUAAACAUUUUUCAAAAAAUUACUAGAAAUAAACAUUUACAUGAUCUAUGUUGGUUAUCUUAGUUAAGUCAUGUAGUUGAUCAUUUGAAUGCCACUUAAAGAUAUACAAUAUCUAACCCUUAAACUACUAGAACUUUGCAAGGAAUCAUCAUAUAAAAGGCAUAAAAAGAAGAUAGAUUUGUGUUGUUGAGAGGUAGUAUCAUAUUCUGGAAAAUAUUGUUUUCUUCUGGGUACAUUUAAUGCAGUCUCUAUUGAAGUCUUUUCUCCCAUAUAUCCAGUUUUUGUUAAAUAAAAAAGGUCUGAGCAUUAAUUUUGUACUUGGUUGAGUAGGGGACAUGAUUACUUCUCUUAAGGUAAUCAUCCAGUACCAAGAAAAUAUAUACACAUGAAGACCAGAUGGCAAUAAAAUGAUAUGAGACAUCAUAUGAUAAGUGUCCCAAGGCAGUUUUAAAAAUCCACUGAUAUUUCAAAGGCUGGAAACCUUCUUCUUUCCAGGGAAAUCAGAGAAAGACUUUUAAACCAAGGUGUGGUCAGGCAGUCUAAGUAGGAUUUCAAAAGCAAUGAAGGACAUAGACAAUAAGAGAAUGAAAAUGCAGAGGUUUAGCAGUGGGAAAAUAUGUGUAUGAAAAUAGUGAGAGAUCAGGCUAGGUCAGUUAGAGCCUGAUCCCUAGAGAGCCUGGAGAUGCUUCUGACUAUAGAUUUUACUGAAAUGAAAUAUAAGACUUAGCAGCAAAUAUGUAGAGCACUGGAAGCUGCUUUCAGGAGGAGCACAAAACUCCAGGUGUUGCCUGGAAGAUAUGGUCUAGGGUAUAUUCCCACACCUACUGCAUGCUAGACAUAUUAGGUACUGGGAGACAGUGUUUAUAUUCUAAUGAUGGAGAAAGAUAAUAAAGGGGCAGAAACCUCUUCAUUUCUAUCCUUCCAGGUUCUUUGUCUGCCUAAUAAUUGGCAUAAGACAGAUUAACAGAAUAAAAACAAAUUUUAAUUUUCUAUGUACAGAAAUCCCAUAAAAAUAUGACUCAAUCAAAUGACCAAAGCAGGAAGCUUUUAUGCUUCUAGACAAAUAAACAAUAUAUUUUUAACUUGACAAGGCAAAGGGUUUGGGUUUAGGGUUGUAAACUGGUGAAGAAAUAACCUGUGGGCCCAACUUCCCUAUGUCUGGUGAUAGGGUGCCUUCUACCCUCCUGGAACAGGAAUAGUACCUUUCACACUGGAGCUUUAUUCCCUGCUUUCAGGAGACAAAGGAGGGUCAGUGUGUCCUUCUUAUACUGGCUGUUCUUCAAGUACCCACCUUCAAUUCAAAAUGUAUGCCAUGAUGGGAGAGGGAAGGAGUGGGAGGGAUCGGGAGCUUGGGCUUAUCAGACGCAACUUAGAAUAGAUUUACAAGGAGAUCCUGCUGAGUAGCAUUGAGAACUUUGUCUAGAUACUCAUGUUGCAACAGAACAAAGGAUGGGGAAAAAAAAUGUCAUUGUAAUGUAUACAUGUAAGGAUAACUUGAUCCCCUUGCUGUACAGUGGGAAAAUAAAAUAAAAUAAAAUAUAAAAAAACCCAAAAUGUAUGCCAAAGUGGUAUAUUUGGAGGUGCUAUAUUUUGCUUCCCUUCAUAAUAAUAAAGUAGAAUAAAUAAUAAGUAGAAAGAUGUAAGUAAAAAUUUAAUCAUAAGUUUAGACUACAUAUUCACAUUAUAUGAAGCUCUUGGCUGAAUGUUUGGCAUGGAGUGAACACCCUUCCACAAUACACUUCUACAUUGAACUAGUUGGGUACAAAUAAUCUCUUCCUUUCCUUAAAGUUAGUUAUUUCAUUGCUCAGACACAGAGAAGUGGUUCUUUGAAAUAUUCAGUAAUUCUGGCAUAUGAAGAUAGAAAGCAAGCUGUAUAUGAAUGGCACCCAAAUAAAGAUUUGGUUCUGCUUUUCUCUG